This 27-nucleotide non-coding RNA is filed under the name Bombyx mori (domestic silkworm). The record is from RNAcentral. Lineage: Eukaryota; Metazoa; Arthropoda; Insecta; Lepidoptera; Bombycidae.
UACAACUUGGUUUCUGGGUCCUCAUGC